AUUGAACGCUGGCGGCAGGCCUAACACAUGCAAGUCGAACGAGUGGCGGACGGGUGAGUAAUGUCUGUGAAACUGCCCGAUGGAGGGGGAUAACUACUGGAAACGGUAGCUAAUACCGCAUACCCUCGGAUGUGCCCCGAUGGGAUUGGCUUGUAGGUGAGGUAACGGCUCACCGAGGCGACGAUCCCUAGCUGGUCUGAGAGGAUGACCAGCCACACGGGAACUGAGACACGGUCCAGACUCCUACGGGAGGCAGCAGUGGGGAAUAUUGCACAAUGGGCGCAAGCCUGAUGCAGCCAUGCCGCGUGUAUGAAGAAGGCCUUCGGGUUGUAAAGUACUUUCAGCGGGGAGGCGUUACCCGCAGAAGAAGCACCGGCUAACUCCGUGCCAGCAGCCGCGGUAAUAC
This 406-nucleotide ribosomal RNA is filed under the name uncultured bacterium. Its description in RNAcentral is "partial 16S ribosomal RNA". It matches the Rfam family "Bacterial small subunit ribosomal RNA", at positions 30 to 526 of the family's 1533-position model. The record is from RNAcentral.